Molecule: long non-coding RNA, 1013 nt
Organism: Daphnia magna
Lineage: Eukaryota; Metazoa; Arthropoda; Branchiopoda; Diplostraca; Daphniidae
Exons: 7
Source: RefSeq, a predicted model, not a curated record
CAACCCUGACGCACGGCAACGUCCUUGACGCGUCGUAUGCCCAAUCCACAAACCACAAGUCUUUUUUUUGUUACUGGUUGUCUGCUGAAUGUAGUUUGUGUUCUGUAUUAAUAUAUUAAACAUUCUCUUGGUUACAACACUAAAAUUUGCCACUUUUUUGAGCUAACCUGAGAGACUUCUUUUUACUAUUAUUUCCAAGGUACACUCAAUUGUUGUUUGAAGGUGGAUUAUCACCAGAUAUCCUCUGAAUCAUGGUAUAAUAGGUUGAUAUGGUAUGGUUAAUAUGGUUCUCAACCUAUUAUACCAUGUGUUGAAUGGUACGCACACUAUCAACACCCUUACAGUGUGCUUCAUAAAUACAUCAACCCCUGAGAUAACAUUAUUGUUGGAAAUUGUGUUUUUGUUCUCCACUUUUAUUAUCCACAUGGUAUUUUCACACUACUUCAUUACCAUCAUGGAAAACCAGGUGUGACAUUCUAUCAUCCUGGAAAAAGGAUUAGAAUCCCUUUUAUUUUCCAGAAUUUCUAGAACUGGAAAUUUUCCAAAGAUUCGUUAAAGCUGAUAAUUGUCAACAGGCACACUCUGAGUAGAAAGAAAACGUGGUUUGCCUUAACAUUUUAUCAUCCUGGAAAAAGGAUUCUGGAAAUUGAUGAUUUCUAAUAUACAGCUGGUUUUCAGAAUGAGCUUCCAAUUUGAAGUUGUGAGUGUUUUAUGGGAUUAUGGAUUCCUUCUUUGAAAACCAAAUUAUUUACUUCUAUAAAUGGAUUUUGAAGUAUCAUACAUGUGUUAUUAUGUACUCAAUGAUGCAGAUCUUCGCGAAGCCUUUAAUUGACGUUAUACUAAAAAAUUCCCAUGGAAGGAAGUUCUUUCAGGAUCUGUUAUCGACCGUCUAUGUUAUGCAGUAAUUGGAUCUGCAGUUUAGUUGGAAACUUUAACUUAGAAAUGUGCCCAGCUUAGAAUUUAUAUAAAAGAUUAUAUUUGAGUGGAAAAAGUUCCUGGUUGAGACAGGAGAU